AAGAAAAAUCUGCUUUGUCAUUGAACCUGAGAAAAACUUUGAAAAUAAACAUAAUGACACAGUCUCCAUGCUACAAUAAUAAUGACAGAAAUAAAGUUUUUCACUGUGGGGACAAAUCUUCAUAAGUACAAUUUGACUGUAUUAUUUGUGUCCCCUUCAAAAAUUGCUUAUGAGAAAUUUUAUAUCUAUUGUCCCCCCCCCUACUGUUAAAUAAAAUUUAUGCCCAUGAUUAUAAUAAUUAUAGCAACUGUAUUUUGUGUAUGGUUGAAGAUCUGUCUGGUCUUUAUUCAUUUAAUUAUCACUGUAAAUAGCUGGUUAGCUAUCUAUCAUUUACUCCUCAGAAAGCAAAUUCAGACAGCGGUUGCCUGGAUCAACACCCAGUACUGGGAUGCCUGGAACCUGUGUGACGAGGUGAUCGACUGGGGAGACGGUGUGGAGGAGUGCUCACGAGCGACACCCCCACUGUCCAGGUUGGGGGGGAUAAGGAGGGAUUGGGAAGGGCUACUUGGGAAAAUGUGGAGGUAUCAGAAAGGGGCCUCCAAUGGUGAGAUGGAGGGGGCGGAGGCUGGUAUGAAUGUAAUGCAUAUGGUAAAUGGAGGUGAGGAGAAUGGAUGUGAGGUAAGAGUGAAUGUGGAGGAGGUUAAGGGAGAAGGAGAGAAAAGUAGAGGGAAUGCUUUGGGAUCUAUUGUGUCACAAGGAGGCAGAUCAUGGCUGGAAACCAUUCAGGAAGAAGGAUGUGAGGAAGAAGAAGAAACUGAGGUGGCGUUUCAGGAGGCACAAGACGCUGAAGUUGCCCAGUUGAACAGAUGGUGUCCAUGUGGCUGGUGUAAGGUGGGGUAGGAGGCUUCUGAACCAUGUGUUAGGCCUAGUGCACUUAUGGAUUGUGCUUGUUUGUUAUAAUGAAAUAAGCUUAUAAACUAAACAUAAUAUAUUUUAAAGGUACGUGUUUAUAUCAGUAUCUACAUGUAAAGGGAGCAGACACAGGAAAAAGGUAUUGAAGACCCUUGAUAUGAUAUUGCUGUUUUUGUUUUAGAUUCCAAAGUUAACCCUUUAUUUAAUUUAUCCCUUUUCCCCAAGUAGAAUAAUGCAUGUACUUGUAAUCUGUAUUAUUUUGCUUUGGAGUCGGAAGUUCCAAAAUCACCAGGCAAGUUAUUUGAUUGUAUGUGUUUUAACUACUAGAAAGAUGUAAAUGAUAAGCCUUAAGAUUUAUUUAAAAUUAAUUUAUUGUUUUUUUGUAAAUUAAAAACAGGAACCCUCAUGGACCAAGACUUGAGGGCAUUUGUACAAUCCACCUGUACAACUUUAACUGGUUCUGCAGUCUUUUUCUCCCCACAGCCUCUGCUUGUUCCCUUCUUCUCUUUCUGUCUUCCCUCCAGGAGAGCUCCUCAGGCAUCUCCUGCCUGUAAUUCCUGGGAAAUGCCACCUGCCACCCAUCCUUGGAAGCGUCGCCCAUUCUCAGGAUCUCAUGCGUCACCAUUCAUCACAGUCACAGCGCUUGCAGACAUCUGGUAUGGAUUAAGGCAUCACCAGCCUGGCAUCAGACUCUCCAGACAAUGCCAGCCCAGAGGGGGCUGACCUGGAGGACAUUCCCCCGGAGGACAUGGAGUGGGAGCCUCCAGGUCUUGCCCUGAGUCCGACUCCGUGGUGUCAGCCCCGUGGCCAAAGUUUCCCCAGCCGAGGAGGCUAUCGCCGCGACAACGGCAGGGUCAACGGAAAUCCAGUCGUGAGCUGAGGUCCAGGAGGAAAAAACGAGGUUAUGCUACCCAGACCUGCCUCCUGAUCCAGGCUUGGUCCAAGAUGGUCUUUCAGGGGUCCCUGGUUUGGUCCAGUUCCUGUCCUGCCUGCCCCUCGACACCCUCUCUCUGCCAACCCCUCGCCGUCUACCGAUGCUGUUCUUCCCUCGGCUGCCGCAGACGAGUGGAGCUUCUACAGACCCAGACAGGACUCCAAAGGCCCCCCUGGCCGUGACCCUUCUGCGGCACCCCGGAGCCCAUCAGAGGCCCUGAACUGUUCACUUUACCUCCCAUGCUACCUAGUGUCUUGCCCCUCCUAAUACCUCAGUCUUUGGUCUGUAGUCUUGCUUCCCCGUGGCUCUCCCUGGUUUCACCUCUUAGCCCGAUUUCACUGUUCCAGCCCCCACUCCAGUCACUCUUGCUUCCCGCUUUAGGUUCCCCUCUCUUGGCCAUAUUAUUGUUGCACUGGUUCCGUUGCUUGCCUGUCUUGUCUGGUUGUGUCCUGCCUUGUCUGUCCCUGUGCCAUCUUUGGUCCUUUUGAUGCCCAAUCCCUCCCUUUUGUCUCCUUCUACUGUGUCCUUUGUUCCCACUUACCCACUGACACCCACUGUCUGUCUUUUGGUCCAUAGUCAGCAUCCCUGUUGGAUUACCUGGCCUGUCAUGAGUUGUGUCCUGGGGGUUAGUCUCCCCUGUUGUCCUUGGUUUUGCCCUGGUCUGUGUGUCCCCUCAAUGAUGCCCUUGUACCCGGAGGGCACAGGAUUGGGAGGGGGGCGUUUACUGUCAUGUCUUGCCCAUUUAGUCAACCUUACCCUCCAGUUCUCCUCCCUGAUGAGCCACGCUUGGUGUCUAUUAGUCUCAUCCCAUGUUCCUCCCCUUCUGUCAGUCACUAUCAGCUUCCUUGUGUUUUCCCAUUCCUUAGUCUGGUAAAGUGCCCAGUCCUAUCUUCUCCAGUUGUGUCCUUGUCUGUUUGCGUCUCUGUGCCCAAACCUGCCUGUCAAUAAAACUCCCCACGAAGGGGAUUCUGCCCUA
Brienomyrus brachyistius is the source of this 2762-nucleotide long non-coding RNA. RefSeq lists it as uncharacterized. The record is from RefSeq and is a predicted model, not a curated record. The transcript has 3 exons. Lineage: Eukaryota; Metazoa; Chordata; Actinopteri; Osteoglossiformes; Mormyridae.